RNAcentral lists this ribosomal RNA (253 nucleotides) under uncultured bacterium. RNAcentral describes it as "partial 16S ribosomal RNA". It matches the Rfam family "Bacterial small subunit ribosomal RNA", at positions 524 to 776 of the family's 1533-position model. The record is from RNAcentral.
UACAGAGGGUGCAAGUGUUGUUCGGAAUCAUUGGGCGUAAAGGGCGCGUAGGUGGUCCGGUAAGUCAGAUGUGAAAGCCCUGGGCUUAACCCAGGAACUGCAUUUGAAACUGCCGGACUAGAGUUCAGUAGAGGAUAGUGGAAUUCCCGGUGUAGAGGUGAAAUUCGUAGAGAUCGGGAGGAACACCAGUGGCGAAAGCGGCUAUCUGGGCUGACACUGACACUGAGGCGCGAAAGCGUGGGGAGCAAACAGG